Molecule: ribosomal RNA, 20 nt
Filed under: Pisolithus arhizus
Lineage: Eukaryota; Fungi; Basidiomycota; Agaricomycetes; Boletales; Pisolithaceae
Description: partial 18S ribosomal RNA
Source: RNAcentral
AGCGGUAUCAUUAUCGACAC